AAAGAAUUAGUUAAUGUAUAACAUAAAUAUGUCAAAUUUAAAUUAUUAUCUCAAAUAAUAUUCUUUU
This 67-nucleotide transfer RNA is filed under the name Calinaga buddha. Its description in RNAcentral is "tRNA-Asp". The record is from RNAcentral. Lineage: Eukaryota; Metazoa; Arthropoda; Insecta; Lepidoptera; Nymphalidae.